Melitaea cinxia (Glanville fritillary) is the source of this 109-nucleotide small nuclear RNA. Lineage: Eukaryota; Metazoa; Arthropoda; Insecta; Lepidoptera; Nymphalidae. The record is from RefSeq and is a predicted model, not a curated record.
GUACUCGCUUCAGCAGUACGUAUAAUAAAAUUGGAACGAUACAGAGAAGUUUAAGAUGGCCCCCAAGUAAAGGUAGAGAUAGUCAAUUAUAUUAAAGAAAUAAAAAUAU